UGGAAGUAAAAAACGUAACAAGGUUUCCGUAGGUGAACCUGCGGAAGGAUCAUUAACCGUUACAAACAGUGUGUGAUGCGGCCGCCGAGGUGAAUAGCCUCUGGUUGGUAUGGGGUUCGCCCCUUCACGCUCACGCGUCUGCCAUCCUUACUUUACGAGCACCUUCUGUUCUCCCUCGGCAAGGGCCUCGCCCUGCCGUUGGAACUACAAAACUCUUUUUUGCAUCUAGCAUUACCUGUUCCGACAAAAACAAUCGUUUACAACUUUCAACAAUGGAUCUCUUGGCUCUGGCAUCGAUGAAGAACGCAGCGAAAUGCGAUAAGUAGUGUGAAUUGCAGAAUUCAGUGAAUCAUCGAAUCUUUGAACGCACAUUGCGCCCCUCGGUAUUCCGUGGGGCAUGCCUGUUCGAGCGUCAUCUACACCCUCAAGCUCUGCUUGGUGUUGGGCGUCUGUCCCGCCUCCGCGCGUGGACUCGCCCCAAAUACAUUGGCAGCGGUCUUUGCCUCCUCUCGCGCAGCACAUUGCGCUUCUCGAGGUGUCGCGGACACGCGUCCAGUAAGCAACAUUUACCGUCUUGACCUCGGAGCAGUAGGUACCCAU
RNAcentral lists this ribosomal RNA (600 nucleotides) under Pleosporales sp. TPL24. RNAcentral's name for it is "eukaryotic LSU rRNA". The stretch from base 262 to 415 matches the Rfam family "5.8S ribosomal RNA". The record is from RNAcentral. Lineage: Eukaryota; Fungi; Ascomycota; Dothideomycetes; Pleosporales.